This 64-nucleotide transfer RNA is filed under the name Sarcophilus harrisii (Tasmanian devil). It matches the Rfam family "tRNA", at positions 5 to 66 of the family's 71-position model. Rfam says of the family: Transfer RNA (tRNA) molecules are approximately 80 nucleotides in length. Lineage: Eukaryota; Metazoa; Chordata; Mammalia; Dasyuromorphia; Dasyuridae. The record is from Rfam by way of RNAcentral.
AGCUAGCUCAGUCCGUAGAGCAUGAGACUCUUAAUCUCAGGGUCGUGGGUUCGUGCCCCACGUU